This 497-nucleotide ribosomal RNA is filed under the name uncultured bacterium. RNAcentral describes it as "partial 16S ribosomal RNA". It matches the Rfam family "Bacterial small subunit ribosomal RNA", at positions 28 to 507 of the family's 1533-position model. The record is from RNAcentral.
GAUGAACGCUGGCGGCGUGCCUAAUACAUGCAAGUCGAGCGGACGGGCGAUGAGCUUGCUUCUCUGUUGUUAGCCGAGGGCGGGUGAGUAACACGUGUAAACCCCACCUAUAUGAGUGGGAUAAUUUCGGGAAAGCGGAGCUAAUACCGGAGGAUAUUUUGCACCGUAGGGUUGGAAAGUGAAAGACGGUCUUUCUGUAUCUUAUAGAUGGAUAUGCGCUGCAUGAGCUAGUUGGUAAGGUAACGGCUUAUCAAGGCAACGAUGCGUAGCCGACCUGUGUGGGGGGUCGGCCACACUGGAGGUGAGCCACGGUCCAUAGUCCUACGGGAGGCAGCAGUAUGGAACCGGCCGCAAUGGGCGAAAGUAUGACGGAGCGACGGCGCGUGAGUUAUGAAGGUCUUCGGAUCGGGAUACUCUGUUAUUAGGGAAGAACAUAUUUGUAAGGAACUGUGCAGAUCUUGACGGUAACGAAUCAAAAAGCCACGGCUAACUACGUG